UUGAGAUACUUUACAACCCAUCA
This 23-nucleotide small nuclear RNA is filed under the name Arabidopsis thaliana (thale cress). Its description in RNAcentral is "snRNA_17239". The record is from RNAcentral. Lineage: Eukaryota; Viridiplantae; Streptophyta; Magnoliopsida; Brassicales; Brassicaceae.